Molecule: ribosomal RNA, 492 nt
Filed under: uncultured bacterium
Lineage: Bacteria
Description: partial 16S ribosomal RNA
Rfam family: Bacterial small subunit ribosomal RNA
Source: RNAcentral
AGUGAACGCUGGCGGUAGGCCUAACACAUGCAAGUCGAACGGCAGCACAGUAAGAGCUUGCUCUUACGGGUGGCGAGUGGCGGACGGGUGAGGAAUACAUCGGAAUCUACUUUUUCGUGGGGGGUAACGUAGGGAAACUUACGCUAAUACCGCAUACGACCUACGGGUGAAAGCAGGGGAUCUUCGGACCUUGCGCGAUUGAAUGAGCCGAUGGCGGAUUAGCUAGUUGGCGGGGUAAAGGCCCACCAAGGCGACGAUCCGUAGCUGGUCUGAGAGGAUGAUCAGCCACACUGGAACUGAGACACGGUCCAGACUCCUACGGGAGGCAGCAGUGGGGAAUAUUGGACAAUGGGCGCAAGCCUGAUCCAGCCAUACCGCGUGGGUGAAGAAGGCCUUCGGGUUGUAAAGCCCUUUUGUUGGGAAAGAAAAGCAGCAGGUUAAUACCCCGCUGUUCUGACGGUACCCAAAGAAUAAGCACCGGCUAACUUCGUG